This 200-nucleotide ribosomal RNA is filed under the name uncultured bacterium. RNAcentral's name for it is "partial 16S ribosomal RNA". It matches the Rfam family "Bacterial small subunit ribosomal RNA", at positions 335 to 527 of the family's 1533-position model. The record is from RNAcentral.
ACUCCUACGGGAGGCAGCAGUGGGGAAUAUUGGACAAUGGGGGAAACCCUGAUCCAGCGACGCCGUGUGUGUGAAGAAGGCCUGCGGGUUGUAAAGCACUUUCGGUGGGAACGAAAUAUGCCGGGCUAAUACCCCGGUAGGCUGACGUUACUCAAUGAAGAAGCACCGGCUAACUCUGUGCCAGCAGCCGCGGUAAUACA